AUUUGACUUUUACAAAGCAGAAAAGUAGGGAUGCACCGAAUCCAGGCUUUGGAUUCGGGCGAAUAUUGGGCUUUUUGACGUGGUUCGGUUUCUGCAGAACCUUAGUAUUUUUUCCCACCGAACCGAACCCUACGCUUGUACUACGCGUGCUAUGCUGGUCGACGUAAUGAUGCCGCCGCUGAUUAAGGGAAGGUGUUUAUGUAGGAGGAGCGUUCAAUGCAGCAGGCUGUGAGAAAGUGAAAAUGGAACU
Sander lucioperca (pikeperch) is the source of this 250-nucleotide long non-coding RNA. RefSeq lists it as uncharacterized. The record is from RefSeq and is a predicted model, not a curated record. Lineage: Eukaryota; Metazoa; Chordata; Actinopteri; Perciformes; Percidae. The transcript is spliced from 3 exons.